Molecule: ribosomal RNA, 506 nt
Filed under: uncultured bacterium
Lineage: Bacteria
Description: partial 16S ribosomal RNA
Rfam family: Bacterial small subunit ribosomal RNA
Source: RNAcentral
AGUGAACGCUGGCGGUAGGCCUAACACAUGCAAGUCGAACGGCAGCACAGGAGAGCUUGCUCUCUGGGUGGCGAGUGGCGGACGGGUGAGGAAUACAUCGGAAUCUACUCUGUCGUGGGGGAUAACGUAGGGAAACUUACGCUAAUACCGCAUACGACCUACGGGUGAAAGCAGGGGACCUUCGGGCCUUGCGCGAGUGACUGAGCCGAUGUCGGAUUAGCUAGUUGGCGGGGUAAAGGCCCACCAAGGCGACGAUCCGUAGCUGGUCUGAGAGGACGAUCAGCCACACUGGAACUGAGACACGGUCCAGACUCCUACGGGAGGCAGCAGUGGGGAAUAUUGGACAAUGGGCGCAAGCCUGAUCCAGCCAUACCGCGUGGGUGAAGAAGGCCUUCGGGUUGUAAAGCCCUUUUGUUGGGAAAGAAAUCCAGCUGGCUAAUACCCGGUUGGGAUGACGGUACCCAAAGAAUAAGCACCGGCUAACUUCGUGCCAGCAGCCGCCGUAA